Non-coding RNA from Triticum urartu, 4518 nucleotides. Lineage: Eukaryota; Viridiplantae; Streptophyta; Magnoliopsida; Poales; Poaceae. The record is from RefSeq and is a predicted model, not a curated record.
AUAUCAAUCAGUGGGAAGCGAGUUUUGACAUCUGUUGUAGCAGUACCCAUCUCUCUCCCCGGUCUGCAGAGUCUCGAAUAAUGGCCUCCUCAGCGACUGGGACUCGGAACGUCGUCGCGGUGCCGUACCCGGGCCGCGGCCACAUCAACCCCAUGCUCGCCGUGUGCCGCCUGCUCGUCGCCGCGGACGGCGCCCUCACCGUCACCGUCGUCGUCACCGAGGAGUGGCACGCGCUGCUGGCCUCCGCGCCCACGCUGCCGGACCGCCUGCGCUUCGCCACCAUCCCCAACGACGUCAUCCCCCCCGAGCGCAGCCGUGGGGUCGACCACGCCGCCUUCUUCGAGGCAGUCAGCGUCAAGAUGGCGGAGGCCGUCGGGCAGCUGCUCGGCCGGCUAGUGCUGGAGCUACAGCCGAGGCCGGAGGGCAUCGUGGUCGACACCUACCUGACAUGGGGGGUUGCGGUGGGCACGCGGUGCCGGAUACCGGUGUGCUCGCUGUGGACCCAGCCGGCCACCUUCUUCUUGGCGCUCUACCACCUAGACCUGUGGUCGUCGGGUGAUGAACAUGAGCGCGAUGAAGAAUUAAGCACCAAGUCCAUGGAUCAGUAUGUGUCGUGCCUCUCAUCAGUAAGAAUGUCUGAUCUCAUGGUCUUCAGCCGAUGGAAGCGGCACAUGAAGAUAACAGCGGAGGCGUUCGUGAAAGUACGUAAAGCGCAGUGUCUCCUCCUCACCUCCUUCCACGAGCUUGAACCCCGUGCCAUCAACACAACAGCAGAGCUACUUCCGUUCCCCGUAUAUCCAAUCGGCCCUGUACACAUGCAGCCGGACGGGAACACGGGCAGGAUCCAGGACGAGGAGCACCGUGACUGGCUCGACGCGCAGCCAGAGAAGUCGGUGAUGUACGUCUCGUUCGGCAGCUACGCUUCCAUGCCGCACUCGCAGUUCCAAGAGAUCGCCAUGGGGCUGCUUGACGCUGGAGUCAAGUUCUUCUGGAUGGCACGGGACAAGGCCCCUGAGCUGCGGGAGAAGUGUGGCGACAAGGGGCUGGCGGUGCCGUGGUGUGACCAGCAGGAGGUGCUGCGCCACCCCUCCGUCGGCGGCUUCCUCAGCCACUGCGGGUGGAACUCGGUGCUCGAGGCCGUGUGCGCCGGAGUGCCGGUGAUUGGCUUCCCCGUCGCGUGGGAUCAGCUGGUGAACGCCCGGAUGGUCGCCGACGAAUGGAAGGUCGGCAUCGACCUGAGGGAGCAGAGGGGGGAGGAUGGGUCUGUGAGCAGGGCCGCCAUCUCGGAUGCCGCGAGGAAGCUGAUGGAUUCGGAUUCUGCUGUUGGCCAAGAGAUGAGGAAAAGAGCCGCACAGCUGCGCGAGGUUUCCCGUAGCGCGGUCCGGGAAGGCGGCUCGUCGCAUCGUUCGUUCAGCGGUUUCCUCGAGGAUCUCGCCGAGGGAAGGUUGGAGGUGGCUGAAAGUUCUCAUUGACUGAUGGCACUUCAUUUAGUCCACUGCGCUGGAUGGGUGUCGCGAGCGCACGUGGGAGAGCCGUCCGAUGCGCCCGAUAGCUCCGACUGCGCGGGAUCCAGCCCGACCAGGUGCCAUUAUGAGAAUAGGCGUGACGUGUGGUGUGUGGUGGGCCCGGGCUGCAUUAAUUCAGGUGAAACCGCCCACACCGACCGCUCCUCUUGUUCGAAACUGCCCCAUCGCCCUCGUCCCCUUUUCAUUCGAACUUCUCCCUCUCCUCCCUCUCAUCUAGCAACGACGCACGGCGCGAGGUUCUGCGGUUGUGGAUCCCGCACGGAGUCGCCGGUGUGGGAGGCCGUGAGCACGGCGAGUCGCCGGCUACAGGCGGAGAAUGGCUCUGAAAAGCAAAAGGGCCGCGGGAAGAACUGUUGGUGAAAAUGAGGGAGAAGAGGUGGUGGCUCAAACAACAAGGAGCAAUGUUGGACGCAAGCAUGGGCAGACAGAUGAGGGUCCUGUCUGGGGUGGUCGGGCAGGGAAACGGGCCACCAAUUCCGCCCCUCGUGAUGAAGGAGGGAGGCAUCCGAAACGUGCGAAGAAAGUCAAGCACAUGAUUGGUAGCAGUGGGCCACCACCGAGGAACAGGGCAUCACCUUCAAGACUUUUUGUCCUAAACAGUGGCCUUGAGGAUAUACAAAAGGAUGCCAUUGGUGAUAUAAGCUUUGGCGGUGUCCUUGAUAUUGGCACAAGAACAAUUAAGGCGUUGUUUGGAUAAGAGGAAUAUAGAGAACGCAAUCUACGUAAGCCAAGGAAACUGCCUAACCGUAAAAAAAUCUUGUUUGGCUCGUCCGACAACCCCGUGGAUAGGGGAAACUCGUUUCCCAAAAACACAUAAUUCCGGGUUUGUGGGAAAACUAGUAUUACUCAUUUUUCCACAAACGCGAUUAGCUUAUACAUAUGCAACUGCCUUUCUCCGCCCCCGCCUAUUCCUCAACAACCUUAGAUGGCGCCAAUUCUGCUUUUUGCAUCUCACCUCGCGCCCUUUUCACUGCCUAUAAAAGACAGACUUUGUUUCCCGCAUGUUAUACACCCAGAUCGCAAAGGGCUGGCUGUGAUCCCCGUGACAUGCACUGGAUGGGAUCACUGGAUGGGAGACGUUGACCUUGGAUCUGAAGUUGGUCAUCUUCAAUAAGGCUCCACAUCUCCUUCAGGCUUUCCGUGCAUCGUCUUCCCACCUUCAAUCAGUCUUCCCAUCUUCAAUCAGGUUCCAUGCCUUCACCAUGCUACACAGUAGUACGAAUUUGUAUUUGUAAAUAUUUUCAUGGUACUGUUGAUUGAAUUAAUCUAUUUGGUAGUGAACCCUAUUUUGAAUAAAACCUCUGAUAAUUUCAUAUGGGCAAUUCCUAGGACAUAGUAGAUCCAACAACUUGGUAAUCUGUUAAUCUAAAUGGUAACACGUACUGUUGAAGGAAAAAUUAGAGGCAACUCUGAUGAGGGAGUAUCGUAAAUAUGAACAUGUGGCACAUAAGAGAAUCAGAUUGCACUAUGAAUGCCUAUAUAAAUACUAAAAUGAUCUAACACCGAACCACAAUUAGAUUAUUGAUGACUAUAUAUAUCAAGUGCAGUAGUUAAUUUUUCAUGACAAGGAUGCAGUUUAAAGCACAUUGUAAGGAUAAUUUCCCAUAAGUAUCAAUCAUAUUUAUCCAGAAUAUAUAGUGUGCAGUAAGAGCUAAGCAGUAAGCAGAUGAAGAUUAGAAUACCUUGUGAUGUCAUCUGAUGUUGAUAGCAGUACUUGGGGCAAGCGAGACCAGAUUUAAUAGCAAAUUAAAGAUCUUGGCAGCAACCUAGGAAAAUAACUAAUAAGGGAUGUGAACAUCCCGUUAGACAGACAAGCGACAAAAAUUCAAGUGUCCAGUCAUAGCAUGAACAAAAGAUUAGUGGCAUGCUCAUUUUCUUCCACUUCGUAGAUUUAUUCCUUUUGAACCAAAUGACUCAUCUUCCAUUAUUGCUUCUUGUAUCCCCUCUGUAGAAAAAUAUGGAUGAUGAGAAGGAAAAAAAUUUAAGAAGGAAAACACAGAUAAAGCUAAGCGCCAUGUAUGGAAAUCUUCAGAGGACAAAAUACUGCUGAAUAUAUUAAAAGAUCAAAGCCUACAUGGAGGAAAAGAAGGAACAUGUUACACAAAGAAAGCAUGGCAUGAUAUCUUAGAACAAUUCAAUGAUUCAAGGGUAGAAAAACUUGAAUUACAACAACUGAAAAAUCGUCAUAAGUACUACAGGAGUUGCUACAGCACCAUGGACAGACUUCUAAAACUCACGGGAUUUGGUUGGGAUGACGAUGACAAAAUGAUAAAAGCUCCAGAAGAUAUUUGGGAAGAACUAAUUAAGAAGGAUAAGGCUAUCCAAGAAUAUCGAGAUAAGGUGUGGCCUAGUUGGAUAGAUCUUCAAGCCAUAUGUGCUAGUUCAACAACAUCUGGAGCUGGUGCUGUAUCUAGAAAAGGAAAAGAUGGUGCAUGUAUGACCAAAUCUUCACAAAUUGAUCUCAAUACGGAAGUUGAAGUACAUGACAUCGAUUCUGAUGAAAUCAAUGCUUCCCCUGGUGUCUUCACCAAGAAGUCAACUACCAUUGAGCCAGAAAAAAAGAAGUCCCCUGGAAGUGGAUCCAAGGAAACUGCAAGAGGACAAAAACGGACAGCCGAUGAUGCCAUAAUAGCAAUUGAUCGCCUUGCAGAUGCAUCACUUAGCAUUGCUGAAGCAAAGAAAACAGUAGCACAACAAACUAAAGCUUACUCGGUUAAAUCUUGUCUGGCAAUACUAAAUAGUAUGAGUAAUCUAGAUCCCAAUGAGAAACUAAAAGCGGUAAAGGCAUUUACAGACGGUGAUAAACGGGACAUUUUCAUUGAGAUGGAUGAAGAGACGCGGAAGCUCUGGAUUCUUGAUCCUUAGAAUUUUUGUAAUACACCUUUGAGCAUAGUAUUUUAUUUCAGUCGUUGUCGCACUUUACAAGAUUCAGAAAACAAUUUCACUUAUAUUUUGUCAGUUUGUGUGAAGUAAUAAAUAUUGUUUUCAGUUU